This 1104-nucleotide long non-coding RNA is filed under the name Sus scrofa (pig). Its description in RNAcentral is "lncRNA (ENSSSCG00005007115.1)". The record is from RNAcentral. Lineage: Eukaryota; Metazoa; Chordata; Mammalia; Artiodactyla; Suidae.
AUGUGCAAGCACAUGGUUCUUUCUAGUCAUUUAUAUUUUUGCUGUAUUUCAUUCUCCAGGAGAGGUUUGUCUACGUGCAAUCACUGCAGCCACUACAGCAAAGGGUGCCAGUUCCCAACCUGUCUCAGCCAGAAAGGCAGUUCAGUAUUCAAGUGUUUCCCUGCAGGUUUGAUUAACUUCCUAUGAGAUGCUUCUGCUUUCACCACAUCGUCUAAGUUUCAACCACUGCAAUGCUCUCAGUUCUACUACACUACUACUUUUAUCUCAACAAGAAAAUCACCAUGAUGAUGAGGUAAUAAUAUCCCAUUUUGUGACACUGUGUCCUGGUUAAAGAUAUCCCUAAACCAAUACCCAUCUAAUCUUGUGUGUUGAUGAGUUAUACUUAUAAAUAAGAAGGGAUUUUCAAGCUAUUUGUGCUGUUUCUACCCAUGAUGACCUAGUCGAAUGUGGAAAUGUCCUCAAGCAGAGUCUGCACCCUUUCCAGAGCAUGCCAGUUGUCAGAGGGAGGAACGGAAUGGUCAGUGUUUAUAAUGAUAGCCAGGAGGCUUUCAACCAAGAUAUUGGAUCCAAUUCUAACAGAGGCCUGGAAAGGUUAUAAAGCUGACAGCACUUUGAGAUGAUCUGUAAUGCUUACAAAAUACCUGAGAUUUCUCCCUACUGUCCUUCCUUGUUACUCAAAUGUGGCCUCAAGUGGUUUCUGGUCUGUAUACUUUCCCUCCUAUGUGGGACACAUUACCCAGGACAGAGGCUUUCUGGCACUGAGAGGUGAAGACUACUGAAUUUGGAAAAUCUGUCUCUUGAUCAGUGACGCUUUCAGAGAAAGAUCUUGAUCUUUGAAAAUCAAGGAGAGCUGUGAACAUUAAUAUAGGGAACCUUAACUAAAAGUGGAGUUGAGAAGGCCUGCAGAGGGAGCUCUCACACCUUACCCUUCAUGAUCAAUUGUCCUAAGAGGAGAAAGUCAGUUACUGACACCAACAGGAAGCUAGGAACCUUGCACUCCCAAACAGGAAGUUCACUUUGUUUCUACCCCAGCAGGAGGAAAGAAGACUUCCUUCUUAUCCAAAAAACAAACACUGCCAAUUAAAAAAUAAUUCUACGGUGUAG